Molecule: ribosomal RNA, 240 nt
Filed under: uncultured Lactobacillus sp.
Lineage: Bacteria; Bacillati; Bacillota; Bacilli; Lactobacillales; Lactobacillaceae
Description: partial 16S ribosomal RNA
Rfam family: Bacterial small subunit ribosomal RNA
Source: RNAcentral
UAACCUGCCCAAGAGAUCGGGAUAACACCUGGAAACAGAUGCUAAUACCGGAUAACAACAUAUGAUGCCUAUCAACUGUUUAAAAGAUGGUUCUGCUAUCACUCUUGGAUGGACCUGCGGUGCAUUAGCUAGUUGGUAAGGUAACGGCUUACCAAGGCAAUGAUGCAUAGCCGAGUUGAGAGACUGAUCGGCCACAUUGGGACUGAGACACGGCCCAAACUCCUACGGGAGGCAGCAGCC